AUUAUAUUUUAAGAAUAUGUAAUUACUAAUUAGAGUAAGAUUUAUAGUUAUUCAAAAUAAAAUUGGAUUUAAAGCAUCUGUUAUGACUUGAUGGCUAUAUAUAGUUAGGCAUGUAUUAAUUAGAUGAAUAAGGGUAUAGUAGGCAUGACGGCACAGGUGUUGUUCAGAAUAUAAUUAAUUACUUUUUAUUAACAAAAUAUUAGUUUAGUUAUUUCAAUCGGUAUCAGUACAAAUACCAGUUUCAAUAAAUGAUAUCAGAGCAAAUCACGCUUACACUAUAAAUAAAACAUGCAAUACUGUCAAAUCAUGAAUAUCAAAAUUU
RNAcentral lists this long non-coding RNA (322 nucleotides) under Ananas comosus (pineapple). RNAcentral's name for it is "long non-coding RNA (ACOM_LNC038351)". Lineage: Eukaryota; Viridiplantae; Streptophyta; Magnoliopsida; Poales; Bromeliaceae. The record is from RNAcentral.